CGAGACGAACGCUGGCGGCGGUGCCUAUACAUGCAAGUCGAGCGAAUGAUAAGGAGCUUGCUCCUUGAUUAGCGGCGGACGGGUGAGUAACACGUGGGUAACCUACCUUAUAGACUGGGAUAACUUCGGGAAACCGGAGCUAAUACCGGAUAAUACUUCGAAACACAUGUUUUGAAGUUGAAAGAUGGUUUCGGCUAUCACUAUAAGAUGGACCCGCGGCGCAUUAGCUAGUUGGUGGGGUAAUGGCUCACCAAGGCAACGAUGCGUAGCCGACCUGAGAGGGUGAUCGGCCACACUGGGACUGAGACACGGCCCAGACUCCUACGGGAGGCAGCAGUAGGGAAUCUUCCACAAUGGACGAAAGUCUGAUGGAGCAACGCCGCGUGAAGUGAAGAAGGAUUUCGGUUCGUAAAACUCUGUUGCAAGGGAAGAACAAGUAGCGUAGUAACUGGCGCUACCUUGACGGUACCUUGUUAGAAAGCCACGGCUAACUACGUGCCAGCAGCAGC
RNAcentral lists this ribosomal RNA (509 nucleotides) under uncultured bacterium. RNAcentral describes it as "bacterial SSU rRNA". It matches the Rfam family "Bacterial small subunit ribosomal RNA", at positions 28 to 518 of the family's 1533-position model. The record is from RNAcentral.